GACGAACGCUGGCGGCGGGCUUAACACAUGCAAGUCGAACGGAAAGGCCCUGCUUGUGUGGGGUGCUCGAGUGGCGAACGCGGGAGUAAGAGGUGAGUAACCUACCCUUGACUUUGGUAUAACUUCAGGAAACUGGAGCUAAUACCGGAUAGGAGCUCCUGCUGCAGGGUGAGCGUUGGAAAGUUGCGGCUGGUGGGGAUGGAUUCGCGGGUUAUGAGCUUGUUGGUGGGGGAGUGGGUUACCAAGGCUUGGGCGGGUAGGCCGCCUGAGAGGGUGAGCGGCGACCUAGGGACUGAGGUACGGCACCGACUCCUACGGGAGGCAGCAGUGCGGAAUACUGCACCAGCGGCGCAAGCCUGAUGCAGAAAGCCCGCGUGCGGGAUGACGGCCUUCGGGUUAUAAACAGGUUUCACCUGUGACCAACGGUGAGUGACGGUAACCCGUAAAGAAGGCCCGGCUAACUACGUG
Molecule: ribosomal RNA, 468 nt
Filed under: uncultured bacterium
Lineage: Bacteria
Description: partial 16S ribosomal RNA
Rfam family: Bacterial small subunit ribosomal RNA
Source: RNAcentral